GGAUGGGUGGCAGAGUGGUCGAUUGCGCACGCUUGGAAAGCGUGUGUACCUUUAUCGGUACCGAGAGUUCGAAUCUCUCCCCAUCCG
RNAcentral lists this transfer RNA (87 nucleotides) under Verrucomicrobiota bacterium. RNAcentral's name for it is "tRNA-Ser". It matches the Rfam family "tRNA". Rfam says of the family: Transfer RNA (tRNA) molecules are approximately 80 nucleotides in length. Their secondary structure includes four short double-helical elements and three loops (D, anti-codon, and T loops). RNAcentral also lists the same sequence under 2 other names. Lineage: Bacteria; Pseudomonadati; Verrucomicrobiota. The record is from RNAcentral.